Molecule: ribosomal RNA, 428 nt
Filed under: uncultured prokaryote
Description: bacterial SSU rRNA
Rfam family: Bacterial small subunit ribosomal RNA
Source: RNAcentral
UGAGGAAUUUUGCGCAAUGGGAGCAAUCCUGACGCAGCAACGCCGCGUGGGUGAUGAAGGCCUUCGGGUCGUAAAGCCCUGUCAGGUGGGAAGAAUGUCCCGGGACUGAACAGGUUUCGGGAGUGACGGUACCACCAGAGGAAGCACCGGCUAACUCCGUGCCAGCAGCCGCGGAAAUACGGAGGGUGCAAGCGUUAUUCGGAAUUACUGGGGGUAAAGCGCGUGUAGGCGGCCCUGCAAGUCUGAGGUGAAAGCCCCGGGCUUAACCCGGGAAGUGCAUUGGAAACUGCAGGUCUUGAGUACUGGAGAGGAUGGUGGAAUUCCCGGUGUAGAGGUGAAAUUCGUAGAGAUCGGGAGGAAUAUCAGUGGCGAAGGCGCCCAUCUGGACGGUAACUGACGCUGAGACGCGAAAGCGUGGGGAGCAAACA